GAUGAACGCUGGCGGCGUGCCUAAUACAUGCAAGUCGAGCGAACAGAUGAGGAGCUUGCUCCUCUGACGUUAGCGGCGGACGGGUGAGUAACACGUGGAUAACCUACCUAUAAGACUGGGAUAACUUCGGGAAACCGGAGCUAAUACCGGAUAAUAUAUUGAACCGCAUGGUUCAAUAGUGAAAGACGGUUUUGCUGUCACUUAUAGAUGGAUCCGCGCCGCAUUAGCUAGUUGGUAAGGUAACGGCUUACCAAGGCAACGAUGCGUAGCCGACCUGAGAGGGUGAUCGGCCACACUGGAACUGAGACACGGUCCAGACUCCUACGGGAGGCAGCAGUAGGGAAUCUUCCGCAAUGGGCGAAAGCCUGACGGAGCAACGCCGCGUGAGUGAUGAAGGUCUUCGGAUCGUAAAACUCUGUUAUUAGGGAAGAACAAAUGUGUAAGUAACUAUGAACGUCUUGACGGUACCUAAUCAGAAGGCCACGGCUAACUACG
Molecule: ribosomal RNA, 495 nt
Filed under: uncultured bacterium
Lineage: Bacteria
Description: partial 16S ribosomal RNA
Rfam family: Bacterial small subunit ribosomal RNA
Source: RNAcentral